This is a long non-coding RNA of Lathyrus oleraceus (garden pea), 1893 nucleotides long. RefSeq lists it as uncharacterized. The record is from RefSeq and is a predicted model, not a curated record. The transcript is spliced from 4 exons. NCBI's taxonomy places the organism in Eukaryota, Viridiplantae, Streptophyta, Magnoliopsida, Fabales, Fabaceae.
ACAUGUGAAUUCUUAUCCUCUCGUUUCGAUCCCCAUAGUCUGACUCCUACGUUCAAAGUUCCAUCGAAACCAGAAACAUCAAUCACCAUAAUUAUGUUCACCUCCAUCAUCAUCUUCGUCCUCGUUUCGAGAUGCUCACGGAAGCCAUGAACAAGUCCGUACGCAAAUCCGAGCUCGCUUCACCAAGUGGAAUCCAUCAUUCAUCUUCUCCAAAUCAACGAAUCUACAUCAAUGCCUAGGUCCUCGGCAUCUUGCGAUCAUACACGGAAUCCAGACGACUAGACCGUUGAACGUGUUCACGAGACUCAGCUUGAUAAGAUAAGCGAGAAGCAUGAGAAAACUUACCAAAUCGUGACUCCGAAGCGGUUGCUCCGUCGAGGAUAAUGAUUUGAAAAGGAUGAGCUUGAAUUUGGUUCGUUUUUGAAGAUGAUGAUUGAAGAAGAUUGAAGAAGGUUUGAGGGAGAGUGAAGAAGAUGAAGGUUGAAGAUUGGAGAAGAUUGAAGAGUUGAAGAAGGAGAUGGGAGAAUCGAAAUUCUGCAGAAUGAGAAAUUGCAGAAAAAAAGCCUCCAACUUAAUGCAGCAAGUGGGGUCUUUUGAUUAGAAAUUAAACAAGUAUGUGCAAUUUGAGAAGGGUAUGUGCAAGGUUGUUAGUGUCGGUUAAUGAGUCCCUUUUAACCGAAGGUGCUACUGAAUCAUAAAUGGUGCUAAAUGUUGAAUUUGAUUUUAGUUUCACAUGAGGGAUCCAAUAUAACUUGUGGCUUUGUUUGGAAUUGAGGAUUUACUAAUAUCUUCAUCACGUUAUAGCCUAGUCCUUGGGGUUGAGAGGUUAUUUCUGCCACACUCAUGCAUACUGAGCAAAUUCCGAACGCGAGAUGAUGAAUCGAACUUCUGCCAAGAACGUCUGCUCUGAUUUCAGUUCUUAAGAUUGGUAUUUAGAUUUCCUGGUAUACUUUGGACCACAAGCCAACCUAGAUUCCAACAAUGUAUUGACCAAGGAAACUUGUGUAUGCGACGCUCACUUUAACGAUCAUGAUGCACAUUUACUAUUCCAACUGUUUUGAACUUCACAAAUGAGUAUGACAGCAUCUGAACUAGUGCAAGUUUUAGAUGAUAUUGACAACACAAGUGUUUGUUUACAGGGUUAAUGACACAUGUUCUGUGGUGUGGUAGCAUAGGCAUGCUAGUUUUAAUCUUUUCUUUGACAAUUAAUUCCGACUGAGCUGGUUAGAGGGUCUAUGAUGCAUAAUAAGUUCUGCAGGAAAUGACAGAUGAAGAAGUAAUUCUAACUAUUGACGAAACUCAGAUAGUGGAACAAAAACAUCAAUUCCAAAGAGUACAACCAUCUUGGUUGUUAGGAACGACGAGCAUUAGCAGAUGCUGCUGUACAUUGAGUCGGAAUAUGCAACAAUAGAAAGAAGCUUGGUUCAACAAAGAUUGUGAUUGCUUCCGAGGAUUAAUGCAUGUUGGCCUACUCAACUGAAAUCCUAAUGAUGUUAAAGCCUCUCCACACAACUACCGAUUAUUAUUGCAAUUGGAAAAGGAUAACAAAAUGAUGGUGACCCUGUAGAGGUCGCAGCAGCGACCGUGAAACUAUGAUGAUUCGGAAUUUGGAAUGGCGACCCUGAUGUGGGGUUGUUAGCUUAUCAUAUAACUUAAAAAUUGUAACGAACUCAGCUUGUAGUCAAAGUUAAGAAGAAAUUGGCUUGUGGUUGGACAUUAUUGAUUAAAGUUAAGAAUUGAUUUUGUAGAUAAAAGUUAAGAAUUGGUUUUGUAGAUUGAAAGUUUUAGAAUUUUGUAAAUGGAAACUUGUAUUGAAUCAUGAAAGUGUACUAAAUGUAAAUUUGUUUGUAUGGAUAUUAAUUUUUUAAAUGGAUACUGGGUUGAUAUUGGUUA